This 330-nucleotide unclassified non-coding RNA is filed under the name soil metagenome. RNAcentral's name for it is "partial contains 5.8S ribosomal RNA, internal transcribed spacer 2, and large subunit ribosomal RNA". The stretch from base 1 to 120 matches the Rfam family "5.8S ribosomal RNA", at positions 35 to 154 of the family's 154-position model. The record is from RNAcentral.
GAUGAAGAACGUAGCGAAAUGCGAUAAGUAAUGUGAAUUGCAGAAUUCAGUGAAUCAUCGAAUCUUUGAACGCACAUUGCGCCCCUUGGUAUUCCAUGGGGCAUGCCUGUUCGAGCGUCAUUUGUACCCUCAAGCUUUGCUUGGUGUUGGGCGUCUUGUCUUGUAUUAGACUCGCCUUAAAGUCAUUGGCAGCCAGUGUUUUUGGUAGUAAGCGCAGCACAUUUUGCGUCUUAGUCCUUGAAUCGUGGCAUCCAUGAAGCCUUUUUUCACUUUUGACCUCGGAUCAGGUAGGGAUACCCGCUGAACUUAAGCAUAUCAAUAAGCGGAGGA